RNAcentral lists this non-coding RNA (347 nucleotides) under Gossypium arboreum. Its description in RNAcentral is "Eukaryotic large subunit ribosomal RNA". It matches the Rfam family "Eukaryotic large subunit ribosomal RNA", at positions 347 to 694 of the family's 3401-position model. The record is from Rfam by way of RNAcentral. Lineage: Eukaryota; Viridiplantae; Streptophyta; Magnoliopsida; Malvales; Malvaceae.
AGUACCGCGAGGGAAAGAUGAAAAGGACUUUGAAAAAAGAGUCAAAGAGUGCUUGAAAUUGUCGGGAGGGAAGCAGAUGGGGGCCGGUGAUGCGCCCCGGUCGGAUGUGGAAGGGCGAGAGCAGUUUCGCCGAUCGGCUCAGGGAGUAGACCGACGCGGGUUGUGGCGGCAGCCCAAGCCCGGGCCUUUGAUACGCCUGUGGAGACGUCGUCGCCUCAAUCGUGGGAUCCAGUACGCGCCGUCUCGGCGUGCUUCGGCACCUACGUGCUCCGAGCGUCGGCCUGCGGGCUCCCCAUUCGGCCUGUCUUGAAACACGGACCAAGGAGUCUGACAUGUGUGCGAGUCAA